Molecule: transfer RNA, 541 nt
Filed under: uncultured Prochlorococcus sp.
Lineage: Bacteria; Bacillati; Cyanobacteriota; Cyanophyceae; Synechococcales; Prochlorococcaceae
Description: partial 16S-23S ribosomal RNA intergenic spacer
Rfam family: tRNA (bases 212-284)
Source: RNAcentral
CAGGGAGACAACAAAAUGUUUAAUAUUAUUAUUUUGUCACCUUAGGUCGAUCGGUAUCUCACGUUCUUAAUUUGUUAAGAAUUUCAUUUCCUAAGUUUUUCUAGGUCACACCCAUUAUUUUUCCUGGGCCAUUAGCUCAGGUGGUUAGAGCGCACCCCUGAUAAGGGUGAGGUCCCUGGUUCAAGUCCAGGAUGGCCCAUAUCUCUAUGUUGGGGGUAUAGCUCAGUUGGUAGAGCGCCUGCUUUGCAAGCAGGAUGUCAGCGGUUCGAGUCCGCUUACCUCCACUGAUUACCACCUCUUCCAUAACCGGUAGAAAGGAAAUGUUUUGAGCUGUGAUCAUUAUUCUGAACGAAUCUAGCUUCCUAAUGAAAUCAUUAAGAUGCUGGACUCAUUGAAUUAAUUUCAUUGUUUUCAGAGAACCUUGACAACUGCAUAGAUUUUUUUAAAGACAAUAAGCAUCUUUAAUGAUGCAGAUUUAUUAUUUGUGCGAAUGCAUUAAUAACAAUUCUAUUAAGCUGAUGCUUCAAUUUUUGAAGUUAUU